Molecule: ribosomal RNA, 425 nt
Filed under: uncultured bacterium
Lineage: Bacteria
Description: partial 16S ribosomal RNA
Rfam family: Bacterial small subunit ribosomal RNA
Source: RNAcentral
GUGGGGAAUCUUGCGCAAUGGGCGAAAGCCUGACGCAGCCAUGCCGCGUGAAUGAUGAAGGUCUUAGGAUUGUAAAAUUCUUUCACCGGGGACGAUAAUGACGGUACCCGGAGAAGAAGCCCCGGCUAACUUCGUGCCAGCAGCCGCGGUAAUACGAAGGGGGCUAGCGUUGCUCGGAAUUACUGGGCGUAAAGGGAGCGUAGGCGGACAGCUUAGUCAGAGGUGAAAGCCCAGGGCUCAACCUUGGAAUUGCCUUUGAUACUGGCUGUCUUGAGUGUGGGAGAGGUGAGUGGAACUCCGAGUGUAGAGGUGAAAUUCGUAGAUAUUCGGAAGAACACCAGUGGCGAAGGCGACUCACUGGCCCAAUACUGACGCUGAGGCGCGAGAGCGUGGGGAGCAAACAGGAUUAGAUACCCCAGUAGUCC